Molecule: ribosomal RNA, 320 nt
Filed under: uncultured eukaryote
Lineage: Eukaryota
Description: partial 18S ribosomal RNA
Rfam family: Eukaryotic small subunit ribosomal RNA
Source: RNAcentral
CCCCUAGAUGUUCUGGGCCGCACGCGCGCUACACUGAACAGUUCAACAAGUCUUAACCUUGGCCGAUAGGUCUGGGUAAUCUUUGAACGCUGUUCGUGAUUGGGAUAGACCUUUGCAAUUAUGGGUCUUCAACGAGGAAUUCCUAGUAAACGCAAGUCAUCAGCUUGCAUUGAUUACGUCCCUGCCCUUUGUACACACCGCCCGUCGCACCUACCGAUUGAAUGGUCCGGUGAAAUCUCGGGACGGCGGCUUGGUCGCUUGCGUCCGACUGCUGAAACUUGAUUAAACCAUNUNAUUUAGNGGAAGGUGAANUCGUANCA